GAUGAACGCUGGCGGCGUGCCUAAUACAUGCAAGUCGAGCGAACAGACGAGGAGCUUGCUCCUCUGACGUUAGCGGCGGACGGGUGAGUAACACGUGGAUAACCUACCUAUCAGACUGGGAUAACUUCGGGAAACCGGAGCUAAUACCGGAUAAUCUAUUGAACCGCAUGGUUCAAUAGUGAAAGUCGGUGUUGCUGUCACUUAUAGAUGGAUCCGCGCCGCAUUAGCUAGUUGGUAAGGUAACGGCUUAUCACGGCGACGAUGCGUAGCCGACCGGAGAGGGGGAUCGGCCACACGGGAACUGGACCGGGGUCCAGAGUCCUAAGGGAGGGAGCAGUAGGGAAUGUGCCGCAGUGGGCGAAAGCCUGACGGAGCAACGCGGCGUGAGUGAUGAAGAUCUUCGGAUCGUAAAACUCGGUUAUGAGGUAAGAACAGAUGUGUAAGUAAAUAUGCACGGCUUGACGGUACCGGAUCAGAAAGCCACGGCUAACUACGUG
Molecule: ribosomal RNA, 497 nt
Filed under: uncultured bacterium
Lineage: Bacteria
Description: partial 16S ribosomal RNA
Rfam family: Bacterial small subunit ribosomal RNA
Source: RNAcentral